GUGAGAGACACUUCAUUGGCACUGUAACAGCUCCAGAGCCUGGAAAGUGAGAGUAAUGACUCUUCUGGGGCUGUUAUUGUGUCAGAGGAAAUAUUAAUGAGACCCUUCAUUGAUGUUAUAACAGCUCUUACACCAGGCUCCUUCACUGAAACAAGUUUAUGUACAAACAUACUACUAAAACCAACAAGCACAUCCGGCUCCUCACAGGAAAAGCAUCAGCAGGCACAGGUGAAAACAAUGCCAAGAACUGCUCCCCAUCCUUAAAACCAUAAUUAAGCCACUUCAUGGAUUCAAUUUUUUCUGUUAAGAAAAUCCCCUUGAAUAGAUUCUGCAAGGACUGCUUUUGUGUGUCUUGGCCAGGACUGCCUGAAUCACAGACCUAGUGCUGAAGGUCCAUGUUCUAUAACCUAG
Long non-coding RNA from Neopelma chrysocephalum (saffron-crested tyrant-manakin), 411 nucleotides. RefSeq lists it as uncharacterized. NCBI's taxonomy places the organism in Eukaryota, Metazoa, Chordata, Aves, Passeriformes, Pipridae. The transcript has 3 exons. The record is from RefSeq and is a predicted model, not a curated record.